UGAAACUGGGUUUAUCAUUCAUGGCGAUUAUUCGAAAAGCAACAUUCUUUUGAAAACAAUGAUCAAUUUCCAGUUCUGAUUUUUAACGGAAUCUUUUUUCCAUCAACCGUAUAUCUACGGGUUAUUGCUUUGAGAAUCGUAAAAAAAGUGUUGAAUGCAUAAAAGACGUAUAAUUGCAUUGAUUAUGGUUCCAGUUAGAAGGAAGAAUGGCUGCAGUUACAGUUAGCUUAUAUUUCAGAGGUAUAUUAUUUUUAAAGAAGUUUACGCAAGAAAAAGUUCUCAAGACUGAAUUAGAGAAUAAGGAUGAAUACACAUUAUGCAGUGAACUCAUCAGAAAACAACAUCAGAGAAAGUUCUUUCACAUCUAAUCUCAACAACAA
This is a non-coding RNA of Parasteatoda tepidariorum (common house spider), 380 nucleotides long. The record is from RefSeq and is a predicted model, not a curated record. NCBI's taxonomy places the organism in Eukaryota, Metazoa, Arthropoda, Arachnida, Araneae, Theridiidae.